RNAcentral lists this long non-coding RNA (1108 nucleotides) under Chloebia gouldiae (Gouldian finch). Its description in RNAcentral is "Erythrura gouldiae (Gouldian finch) lncRNA (ENSEGOG00005010783.1)". The record is from RNAcentral. Lineage: Eukaryota; Metazoa; Chordata; Aves; Passeriformes; Passeridae.
AUUUUUUGGGGUUUUUGGGUUUUCGGGGUGGAUUUUGGGGGUUUUCGGGGUGGUUUUUUUUGUUUUUUGGGGGUGGUUUUUGGGGUUUUUUCGCCGGCCGGGUUUUAUUUUGGGGCGAUUUCUGCGUUUUUCGGGGCGCAGGCUCGGGGCUGCAGCUGCCGGCCCCGGCGCAGGCGGCGCUGCAGCAGCUCAACGGGGCCCUCACCCCCCUCGGGGGGCUCAACCCCGCCGCCCUGACAGGUAAAAUCGGGGGGACCCCAAAAUUCGGGGGGCGGGACCCAAAAUUUGGGGGGUGGGACCCCGAAUUUGGGGGUUUUGCCCAAACCCGGGCAGAUUUUGGGGCCAUUUUGGGCAAAUUUGAGGCAUUUUUUGAUGAAAUUUGGGAUAAUUCUGAGGAAUUUUGGGAAAAAUUUUGGGAAUUUGGGGAUUCCCAAAUUUUGGCCCCUCCCCGACCCCAAAUUUCCCCUCCCCCACCCCCAAACCCGGGCAGAUUUUGGGGCCACUUUGGGGCCAUUUUGGGUCGUUUUUGGGUCGUUUUCCGCGGGAAUUNNNNNNNNNNUUUUGGGGUUUUCGGGGUGGAUUUUUUGGGGUUUUUGGGUUUUCGGGGUGGAUUUUGGGGGUUUUCGGGGUGGUUUUUUUUGUUUUUUGGGGGUGGUUUUUGGGGUUUUUUCGCCGGCCGGGUUUUAUUUUGGGGCGAUUUCUGCGUUUUUCGGGGCGCAGGCUCGGGGCUGCAGCUGCCGGCCCCGGCGCAGGCGGCGCUGCAGCAGCUCAACGGGGCCCUCACCCCCCUCGGGGGGCUCAACCCCGCCGCCCUGACAGGUAAAAUCGGGGGGACCCCAAAAUUCGGGGGGCGGGACCCAAAAUUUGGGGGGUGGGACCCCGAAUUUGGGGGUUUUGCCCAAACCCGGGCAGAUUUUGGGGCCAUUUUGGGCAAAUUUGAGGCAUUUUUUGAUGAAAUUUGGGAUAAUUCUGAGGAAUUUUGGGAAAAAUUUUGGGAAUUUGGGGAUUCCCAAAUUUUGGCCCCUCCCCGACCCCAAAUUUCCCCUCCCCCACCCCCAAACCCGGGCAGAUUUUGGGGCCACUUUGGGGCCAUUUUGGGUCGUUUUUG